AUGCUGCCGAGGCGUCUUCUCGUCGCCGGCCUCCUGCGGUCAACCUCCACUUCUUCCCCCGUUUACCCAAGGCCAGAGAAUGUCAGAGAAAGGUUCCUUUCAAGUUGGUGUUAUUCUGACAGCACCAGGCGUCAGACUUAUGGAGGAGCAGGGUCAACAGCUAAGAUGCUGGAUCCCUUUGCACUGGUUAAAGAUGAAGUGUCGGAAAUCUCGAACAGACUGCGUUCGACGGUGGUAUCGGAGGUACCUGAAUUGACAUCAGCAGCUGGAUACUUCUUCAGAGCUGGAGCUGAAGGGAAAAGAACAUGCCCCACUGUUCUACUAUUGAUGGCCUCGGCUAUACGAACAGACACUCCUGACUCCAUUGUUGGUUCAAGGAACGAGCUUCGUGCAAGACAGAUGCGCAUUGCUGAGAUAACUGAAAUGAUUCAUGUAGCAAGCCUUAUCCAUGAUGAUGUUCUGGAUGUUGCUGAUACCAGACGUGGUAUGGAUUCCCUGAACUCUGCAGUGGGAAACAAGCUUGCGGUAUUGGCCGGUGAUUUCCUACUUUUCAGGGCAUUUUCUGCUGCCGGGUCUCUUGGCAAUACUGAGGUUGUAUCUUUACUAGCAACAGCUCUAAAUAGCCUUGUGACGGGUGAGCUGAUGCAGAUGGCCAUAACUCCAGCACAACGCUGCAGCAUGGAUUACUAUUUGCAGAAGACAUACUACAAGACAGCUGCAUUGAUUUCAAAUAGCUGCAAAGCCGUUGCAGUUAUCGCUGGCCAAACAGCAGAGGUUGCAGCCCUUGCUUAUCAGUAUGGCAGGCACUUGGGUAUAGCAUAUCAGCUGAUCGACGACAUCCUUGAUUUCACGGGCACAUCCGCUUCACUAGGCAAAGGCUCCUUGUCUGAUACCCAUCAAGGAAUCGUGACCGCUCCUCUGUUGUUCGCAAUGGAAGAGUUCCCUGAACUACGUGAGAGUGUAGAGCGUGGAUUCGAUGACCCUUCAGAUGUUGCUACUGCCCUCGAAUACCUUGCGAAAAGCCAGGGAAUCGAGAGGACAAGGUUGUUUGCUACUGGACACGUGAAACUGGCAGCACGCGCAAUCGAUGCGCUUCCUGAGGUUGGGGACAGAGUUGCGCUGAUCUCGAGGCAAGCACUCAAAGACCUUGCUCAGAAGCUCAUCAGGAGAACAAAGUGA
Molecule: ribosomal RNA, 1179 nt
Filed under: Triticum aestivum (bread wheat)
Lineage: Eukaryota; Viridiplantae; Streptophyta; Magnoliopsida; Poales; Poaceae
Description: partial small subunit ribosomal RNA
Source: RNAcentral